Molecule: ribosomal RNA, 253 nt
Filed under: uncultured bacterium
Lineage: Bacteria
Description: partial 16S ribosomal RNA
Rfam family: Bacterial small subunit ribosomal RNA
Source: RNAcentral
UACGUAGGGUGCAGGCGUUACUCGGAAUUACUGGGCGUAAAGCGUGCGCAGGCGGUUUCUUAAGUCAGAUGUGAAAGCCCCGGGCUUAACCUGGGAACUGCGUUUGAAACUGGGAGACUUGAGUGUGGCAGAGGGGGGUGGAAUUCCACGUGUAGCAGUGAAAUGCGUAGAUAUGUGGAGGAACACCGGUGGCGAAGGCAGCCCCCUGGGUUAACACUGACGCUCAUGCACGAAAGCGUGGGGAGCAAACAGG